AACGAACGCUGGCGGCAUGCCUAACACAUGCAAGUCGAACGAGACCUUCGGGUCUAGUUGCGCACGGGUGCGUAGCGUGGGGGAAGCUGCCCUUAGGCUCGGAAUAACACUCCGACAGGGGUGCUAAUACCGGGAAACGUCUGCGAACAAAAGAUUCAUCGCCCUUGUGUGGGCCCGCGUUGGUUUAGCUUGUUGGGAGGGUAAAAGCCUAUCACGGCGACGAUAGAUAGCUGGGCUGAGAGGCUGAUCAGCCACACUGGGACUGGGACGCGGCCGAGAAUCUUACGGGAAGGAGGAGUGGGGAAUAUAGGAAAAUGGGGGAAGGCCUGAUCCAGCAAGGCCGCGUGAGUCAUGAAGUCGGUAGAGAUGUAAAGCUCUUUUAUCCGGCAUGAUAAUGACAGUACCGGGAGAAUAAGCACCGGCUAACUUCGUG
This 433-nucleotide ribosomal RNA is filed under the name uncultured bacterium. RNAcentral describes it as "partial 16S ribosomal RNA". It matches the Rfam family "Bacterial small subunit ribosomal RNA", at positions 29 to 507 of the family's 1533-position model. The record is from RNAcentral.